CCUACGGGUGGCAGCAGUGAGGAAUAUUGGUCAAUGGUCGGGAGACUGAACCAGCCAAGCCGCGUGAGGGAUGAAGGUACAGAGUAUCGUAAACCUCUUUUGUCAGGGAACAAAGGCGGGGACGCGUCCCCGGAUGAGUGUACCUGAAGAAAAAGCAUCGGCCAACUCCGUGCCAGCAGCCGCGGUAAUACGGAGGAUGCGAGCGUUAUCCGGAUUUAUGGGGUGAAAAGGGUGCGCAGGCGGUCUGUUAAGUCAGCGGUCAAAGCCCGGGGCUCAACCCCGGCCCGCCGUUGAAACUGGCAGUCUCGAGUUGGAGAGAAGUAUGCGGAAUGCGCGGUGUAGCGGUGAAAUGCAUAGAUAUCGCGCAGAACUCCGAUUGCGAAGGCAGCAUGCCGGCUCCACACUGACGCUGAGGCACGAAAGCGUGGGUAUCGAACAGGAUUAGAUACCCGGGUAGUC
Molecule: ribosomal RNA, 459 nt
Filed under: uncultured bacterium
Lineage: Bacteria
Description: partial 16S ribosomal RNA
Rfam family: Bacterial small subunit ribosomal RNA
Source: RNAcentral